RNAcentral lists this ribosomal RNA (253 nucleotides) under uncultured bacterium. Its description in RNAcentral is "partial 16S ribosomal RNA". It matches the Rfam family "Bacterial small subunit ribosomal RNA", at positions 524 to 776 of the family's 1533-position model. The record is from RNAcentral.
UACAGGGGGUGCAAACGUUGCUCGGAAUUAUUGGGCGUAAAGCGCGCGUAGGCGGUCGCUUAAGUCGGAUGUGAAAGCCCUUGGCUCAACCGAGGAAGUGCACCCGAAACUGAGUGGCUUGAGUACGAAAGAGGGUCGCGGAAUUCCCGGUGUAGAGGUGAAAUUCGUAGAUAUUGGGAAGAACACCGGUGGCGAAGGCGGCUAUCUGGACCGUAACUGACGCUGAGGCGCGAAAGCGUGGGGAGCAAACAGG